CUGUCAGGCGCGGUGGCCAAGUGGUAAGGCGUCGGUCUCGUAAACCGAAGAUCGCGGGUUCGAACCCCGUCCGUGCCUGAGACCCGAGGUAGGGCUUUGGCUGUGGGGAAGUCGGGUUUUCUCCACGUACGCCGUCCCUUCUACGUGGCAUUUUUUCCAUUUUCGGAUUCUGCUCAGUCGCCCUCCAGUUCGUCUCCUGCCCCGGGCUCCGCGGUCGGCGGGGGCCGGUGCACCUGGGC
Molecule: transfer RNA, 239 nt
Filed under: Homo sapiens (human)
Lineage: Eukaryota; Metazoa; Chordata; Mammalia; Primates; Hominidae
Description: LHRI_LNC194.1
Rfam family: tRNA (bases 7-78)
Source: RNAcentral